This 253-nucleotide ribosomal RNA is filed under the name uncultured bacterium. RNAcentral's name for it is "partial 16S ribosomal RNA". It matches the Rfam family "Bacterial small subunit ribosomal RNA", at positions 524 to 776 of the family's 1533-position model. The record is from RNAcentral.
GACAGAGGGUGCAAACGUUGUUCGGAAUUACUGGGCGUAAAGCGCGUGUAGGCGGCUUGGCAAGUCGGGUGUGAAAGCCCUGGGCUCAACUCAGGAAGUGCACUCGAAACUGCUUCGCUCGAGUAUCGGAGAGGAGAGCGGAAUUCUCGGUGUAGAGGUGAAAUUCGUAGAUAUCGAGAGGAACACCGGUGGCGAAGGCGGCUUUCUGGACGAUUACUGACGCUGAGACGCGAAAGCGUGGGGAGCAAACAGG